RNAcentral lists this ribosomal RNA (429 nucleotides) under bacterium. Its description in RNAcentral is "partial 16S ribosomal RNA". It matches the Rfam family "Bacterial small subunit ribosomal RNA", at positions 355 to 776 of the family's 1533-position model. The record is from RNAcentral.
UAGGGAAUCUUCGGCAAUGGGGGCAACCCUGACCGAGCAACGCCGCGUGAGUGAAGAAGGUUUUCGGAUCGUAAAGCUCUGUUGUAAGAGAAGAACGUGUGUGAGAGUGGAAAGUUCACACAGUGACGGUAACUUACCAGAAAGGGACGGCUAACUACGUGCCAGCAGCCGCGGUAAUACGUAGGUCCCGAGCGUUGUCCGGAUUUAUUGGGCGUAAAGCGAGCGCAGGCGGUUUAAUAAGUCUGAAGUUAAAGACAGUGGCUUAACCAUUGUUCGCUUUGGAAACUGUUAAACUUGAGUGCAGAAGGGGAGAGUGGAAUUCCAUGUGUAGCGGUGAAAUGCGUAGAUAUAUGGAGGAACACCGGUGGCGAAAGCGGCUCUCUGGUCUGUAACUGACGCUGAGGCUCGAAAGCGUGGGGAGCAAACAGG